GGGUGCUUUCCAAACUUGUUCAGAUUAGUUCUUCAAAAAGAAGCCCCAGAGAACUGACGUUACCUCAAGUUCACUGCAAUUCUCUUUCUCUCAAGGAUUAUACUUGAAUUUGAAGCCAGUCUCCUAAAAGCCUCAGGCAGGUGGUCAACUCGGCUUGUGUGUUGGUCGUAGCUUUUCUUCCAAGGAGCAGAAGAUGAUGGACUUUGAAGCAAAGCCCAGAUCUGCUGCAGGCAACAAAUUUGACACCAGGGAGAGGAGGAAGCAACGUUUUCCCUGCAGAAGGGCUGCAUGGACUGAGUCAGGUUCUGUGAAGCUGAGCCUGGCAGCAGAGCAGCGGAGACAUGCUCUUAGGCGCCUUGCUGAGCACACAGGUGUUUCUGGACCCUUUUUCGAGUCUGGUUUUUCUGCAAGCUGAGUCUAGACCUUUGGCACCAAUGGCGGCUGCCUCAGGCCCCCUCGGAGGUGGCGAGUAUGAAGUGCAGGUGUUCCUGCCUCAGGAAAGUGUCUGCCGGGCCACCAGAGGUCUGAUGCUAUCAAACUACCUCAGAGCCAAGGAAUGUGCGUCUUAACAGGCUCCCCGGCUGACUGAUGCUGGUGGUCUCUGCACUCCCUCGGAGAAGCUCUGAAAAACACCGAAGCAAGCUUUCCAAAUGGCUCAACACUGGAGAAGAGAAGAUGCUUUGAAAGAGGAGGGGGAACAAAUCACUUAGAGACAUGGUGGAGGUGGGUGGGGUAUGCUUGGAAUUAACCCAUGUAGAGCUCCCAUGGGUCAUUUUAGCUAUUCAUCUCCUUUGGACCCCCUCACAGCCCUGAAAGAUGAACGUGAUUAGCACUUUUCACGAAGGAGGGAAGUUGAGGUUCUCGGAGGCUUAGAUACAUACCCCAGGCUUCACGGGCUGUCAGUAAAGACCCAGACUUUGAAGCCAUGUCCAGCUGACUCUUAAAGACUUCUUUGCAAAUAUCGUCCUGCCAAAGACUGAGCUGCUACCAGAUAACUUCAUCCAGGGCAAGGCACUGAGUCAGUGUUCAAAGCACACCUGGUAAAUGAGCAAAGAAUGAAUGAGCAAGUAAGAGAAUAAAAUGGCUUCAGGAUUAUGGAAGGGAGCCCAAGAGGCUCCCUUUAUGACCUCAACACCCAAGCUUCUCCUCCCAUAGUUUCUGUAAUCUGAAAGGUGACCCAGCUAAGUUUGCCCAGUUGAUAAGGCCGUGCAACUCACCUGCACCUUUUAUCUGCAACCCAAAUACAAACAGGAAGUGGGGGCUUAGAUAAAGGCAGGGGAAGGCAAUGCCUGGAAUCCUCAUAAGCCUGGAAUGAGCCAUUUAGUUUCAUGUCCCAAAUGUCUACUGAGCACCUCCCAAAUGCCAAGCUCUGUGCACGUCUUGAGAACGGAGCAGGAAAACAGACAGUCCCUGCCCUUGUAUGGCUUGAAAUCUACUGGGAAUCUUGUCUUAAGGAGGUCAUUAUAAAUGUGAUGAACAUAUAGAAAGGGAGAAGAAUGAAGCCAGGUGGUUACAGCCACCCUCCUGGAGACUUGCCUUUAAGCUGGGACCUCAGAGGUGAGGCGAAAGGAGGCAGGAGUCAGUGAUGGGAUCCCUUCAUGGUGCAACCACCUUAGGGCAAAAAGGUGCUUGUUCUGGGUUUUCCUGUUCCUGGUCAAGCUGCCUUUCCACAGGCCACUAUCCAUUGCUCUCUGUGCCUGCUCCCCACCUCUUUCUGGGCUCUGCCUGCAGGAGACAUGGCCCAGCCCCGCCUUCCCCUCCCUGGUCAGCUGGGGUGUGUUGAAGCCUCUUUGUACUAGCCAGCUAAUGAGACUUAAAUUUGGGGGAUUUUUGCAAUUUGGCUAAAAAAAAGUCAUUAAAAUUUAAGUUAUAUGUACAAUUUAAUAUAUUAUAGUCAAAAGUAGUGGACACAAAGAGCUCAUUGUGUGUGCUCAGUCAUUCAGUCAAGUAUGACUCUUGACGACCCCAUGGACUGUAGCCUGCUGGGCUCCUCUGUCCAUGGAAUUUUCCAGGCAAGAAUACUGGAGUGGCUGCCACUUCCUAGUCCAUGGAAUCUUCCCUGCCCAGGGACUGAACCCCGGUCUCCUGUGUCUCUUACACUGGCAGGUGCUUUGUUACCACUGUAC
This is a long non-coding RNA of Capra hircus (goat), 2126 nucleotides long. NCBI's taxonomy places the organism in Eukaryota, Metazoa, Chordata, Mammalia, Artiodactyla, Bovidae. The record is from Ensembl.